GGUUGUGGCUCAGUGGUAGCGUGCUUGCCUAGCAUGUAUGAGGCACUGGGUUCAAUCCUCAGCACCA
This 67-nucleotide transfer RNA is filed under the name Marmota monax (woodchuck). Its description in RNAcentral is "tRNA.Ala". The record is from RNAcentral. Lineage: Eukaryota; Metazoa; Chordata; Mammalia; Rodentia; Sciuridae.